CUCGGUGGAAAACAAAUGGAGAUGGUUUAAGAAUUCGAUUGGAGCACUUGAUGGGAUACAUAUUCCAGUAACAGUUUCUGCAGAAGAUAGACCUAGAUAUCGUAAUA
Glycine soja is the source of this 107-nucleotide long non-coding RNA. RefSeq lists it as uncharacterized. The record is from RefSeq and is a predicted model, not a curated record. NCBI's taxonomy places the organism in Eukaryota, Viridiplantae, Streptophyta, Magnoliopsida, Fabales, Fabaceae. The transcript is spliced from 2 exons.